UACAGAGACUGCAAGCGUUGUUCGGAUUCAUUGGGCGUAAAGGGUGCGCAGGCGGUCCGGUAAGUCGGGUGUAAAAGCUCGAGGCUUAACCUCGAUAGGUCAUUCGAAACUACCGGGCUCGAGGAUUGGAGAGGAGACUGGAAUGGUUGGUGUAGCAGUGAAAUGCGUAGAGAUCAACCAGAACACCGGUGGCGAAGGCGAGUCUCUGGACAAUUCCUGACGCUCAGGCACGAAAGCCAGGGGAGCAAACGGG
RNAcentral lists this ribosomal RNA (253 nucleotides) under uncultured bacterium. RNAcentral describes it as "partial 16S ribosomal RNA". It matches the Rfam family "Bacterial small subunit ribosomal RNA", at positions 524 to 776 of the family's 1533-position model. The record is from RNAcentral.